This 627-nucleotide ribosomal RNA is filed under the name Debaryomyces hansenii. RNAcentral's name for it is "eukaryotic LSU rRNA". The stretch from base 238 to 391 matches the Rfam family "5.8S ribosomal RNA". Lineage: Eukaryota; Fungi; Ascomycota; Pichiomycetes; Serinales; Debaryomycetaceae. The record is from RNAcentral.
CAAGGUUUCCGUAGGUGAACCUGCGGAAGGAUCAUUACAGUAUUCUUUUUGCCAGCGCUUAAUUGCGCGGCGAAAAAACCUUACACACAGUGUUUUUUGUUAUUACAAGAACUCUUGCUUUGGUCUGGACUAGAAAUAGUUUGGGCCAGAGGUUUACUAAACUAAACUUCAAUAUUUAUAUUGAAUUGUUAUUUAUUUUAAUUGUCAAUUUGUUGAUUAAAUUCAAAAAAUCUUCAAAACUUUCAACAACGGAUCUCUUGGUUCUCGCAUCGAUGAAGAACGCAGCGAAAUGCGAUAAGUAAUAUGAAUUGCAGAUUUUCGUGAAUCAUCGAAUCUUUGAACGCACAUUGCGCCCUUUGGUAUUCCAAAGGGCAUGCCUGUUUGAGCGUCAUUUCUCUCUCAAACCUUCGGGUUUGGUAUUGAGUGAUACUCUUAGUCGAACUAGGCGUUUGCUUGAAAUGUAUUGGCAUGAGUGGUACUGGAUAGUGCUAUAUGACUUUCAAUGUAUUAGGUUUAUCCAACUCGUUGAAUAGUUUAAUGGUAUAUUUCUCGGUAUUCUAGGCUCGGCCUUACAAUAUAACAAACAAGUUUGACCUCAAAUCAGGUAGGACUACCCGCUGAACUUAA